UUAAUAAGCGGAGGAAAAGAAACUAACAAGGAUUCCCUCAGUAAUGGCGAAUGAAGUGGGAAUGGCUCAAGCUUGAAAUCACUGUUGCAUGCAACAGCGAAUUGUAGUCUCGAGAAGCGUCUUCCCGGCGGAUCUUCCCUGCCUAAGUUGCUUGGAACAGGACAUCGAAGAGGGUGACAAUCCCGUUUGUGGCAAGGCAGACCGUCUACAAUACGCUUUCCAUGAGUCGGGUUGCUUGGGAAUGCAGCCCAAAAUUGGUGGUAAACUCCAUCUAAAGCUAAAUAUUGACAUGAGACCGAUAGCGAACAAGUACCGUGAGGGAAAGAUGAAAAGAACUUUGAAAAGAGAGUUAAAAAGUGCGUGAAACCGUUAGAGGGGAAGCGGAUGCAGCUAGCAAUGCUUCUGUGAGAUUCAGGCGGUCGCACGGUCAGACGUGCAGAUGGUGGAUCUGAAUGGACCUUCGCUACAUGGCCGGGUCUUGUGCCCGUCGCACUUCUCGCAGGAGCGCGUCAACAGCUGCUGAGCCUGAUGAACAUGGCUUCGCGGAAGGUAGGCAGAUGGUUUUCCAUCGGUUAUUAUAGUCGCGGGUGCCUAGCUCUGGCUUGGCAGAGGUGAGCGGUGCAUGCUCUCUGAUCGGAGAGGGCUGGCGUCCUGUCUCAUUCACUUAGCUGGCUUGGGUGUACUGCGUGCAGUACGUCUUGGCAGGCGAAAGGAAGUUCGAGCAGUCAACGCACACGAUGUGCCCUGGUUGUUGGUGGCAAUAUGGCUUUAUCCGACCCGUCUUGAAACACGGACCAAGGAGUCUAACAUGUGCGCAAGUCUUGGGGUGACCGAAACCCAGAGGCGCAAUGAAAGUGAAAGCUGCCUGGCAGCCGAGGUGAGAUCUUUGCUCCACUUGAGUAGUGAGGCGCAUCAUCGACCGACCUAUUCUAAGAACCCUUAGGAAGGUUUGAGUAAGAGCGUACAUGCUGGGACCCGAAAGAUGGUGAACUAUGCCUGAGUAGGGUGAAGCCAGAGGAAACUCUGGUGGAAGCUCGUAGCGAUUCUGACGUGCAAAUCGAUCGUCGAACUUGGGUAUAGGGGCGAAAGACUAAUCGAACCAUCUA
Molecule: ribosomal RNA, 1106 nt
Filed under: Deepstaria enigmatica
Lineage: Eukaryota; Metazoa; Cnidaria; Scyphozoa; Semaeostomeae; Ulmaridae
Description: eukaryotic LSU rRNA
Rfam family: Eukaryotic large subunit ribosomal RNA
Source: RNAcentral